AUCAACUUAUGGGUCAGAAAGUCAUAAUGGAAAUUAGAAAACAUUUAGAACUGAAGGGAUUGGUAUGAUAGUAAUUGCUUCAUCCUCAGGCUUCCAGGAAACUGGCUGCCCCAACUCCAGGCCUCGUAUACACGGACAACAAUGCCAAGAAGAAGAGGCCCAGGACUUCUGGAGAUUACAAUGGUACCAAUACAGCAUUUGACAAAGGAAUGACUUGUGGAUGCAUAAUGCAAUUGGAAGUCUAACUGCAAAGCUCUUAGAAGGAUCUUGAUCAGAAGACACCGAUGGAAACCAUUAGAAGAGCUACUAACACUCCACUCUGUCGGCCAUUCACUGGACUUCAGCCAGUUACUUGUGUAUUUAAUUUCAAAAGAGAUGAACAAAAUUAAGUUCAAAAGCUGUGCCUUACCCUGCCAACACCACCUACAGGCAGUGCUGCAGCUCAGCCUUCAGGAACACAGGAAUGGCAG
RNAcentral lists this long non-coding RNA (470 nucleotides) under Equus caballus (horse). Its description in RNAcentral is "lncRNA (ENSECAG00000056969.1)". Lineage: Eukaryota; Metazoa; Chordata; Mammalia; Perissodactyla; Equidae. The record is from RNAcentral.